UGAACUUCUGUUUACGGUUAUUCUGCUGCAUGUACAGGCGAUGAGGCCCAUUCCAGUUCCCGUAGACGAUGUCGGUCUUGCCGUCACGGUUGAAAUCUGCCAGAGCGACCCCUCUGCCGUGCUGCAUGGGGUCCUCCACACCUACAGUCAUAUGCCUGCUGCGCCACAUCCGUGAACGUUCCAUCCCCGUUGUUCCUAAACAAGAAGUUGGGUCCGUACUCGUUGUCGCAGAAUACAUCGGACAGCGUUUGACUGACAAUGGGCCCCACCACGACGCCUCGUCCUCCUGCACAGACAGAAACACAGAUACAAGCCUCUGUGCCGAAAGUAUGAAUGGAACGGAAAUGGUGAAGGGAGAGAUGACCAGCAAAAAACAUCCGUGACGUGAU
This is a long non-coding RNA of Paralichthys olivaceus (Japanese flounder), 389 nucleotides long. RefSeq lists it as uncharacterized. The record is from RefSeq and is a predicted model, not a curated record. Lineage: Eukaryota; Metazoa; Chordata; Actinopteri; Pleuronectiformes; Paralichthyidae.